This 650-nucleotide ribosomal RNA is filed under the name uncultured bacterium. RNAcentral describes it as "bacterial SSU rRNA". It matches the Rfam family "Bacterial small subunit ribosomal RNA", at positions 42 to 675 of the family's 1533-position model. The record is from RNAcentral.
UCAGGCCUAACACAUGCAAGUCGAGCGGACAGAAGGGAGCUUGCUCCCGGAUGUUAGCGGCGGACGGGUGAGUAACACGUGGGUAACCUGCCUGUAAGACUGGGAUAACUCCGGGAAACCGGAGCUAAUACCGGAUAGUCCCUUGAACCGCAUGGUUCAAGGAUGAAAGACGGUUUCGGCUGUCACUUACAGAUGGACCCGCGGCGCAUUAGCUAGUUGGUGGGGUAAUGGCUCACCAAGGCGACGAUGCGUAGCCGACCUGAGAGGGUGAUCGGCCACACUGGGACUGAGACACGGCCAAGACUCCUACGGGAGGCAGCAGUAGGGAAUCUUCCGCAAUGGACGAAAGUCUGACGGAGCAACGCCGCGUGAGUGAUGAAGGUUUUCGGAUCGUAAAGCUCUGUCGUUAGGGAAGAACAAGUGCGAGAGUAACUGCUCGCACCUUGACGGUACCUAACCAGAAAGCCACGGCUAACUACGUGCCAGCAGCCGCGGUAAUACGUAGGUGGCAAGCGUUGUCCGGAAUUAUUGGGCGUAAAGGGCUCGCAGGCGGUUUCUUAAGUCUGAUGUGAAAGCCCCCGGCUCAACCGGGGAGGGUCAUUGGAAACUGGGAAACUUGAGUGCAGAAGAGGAGAGUGGAAUUCCACGUG